This 301-nucleotide ribosomal RNA is filed under the name uncultured bacterium. RNAcentral's name for it is "partial 16S ribosomal RNA". It matches the Rfam family "Bacterial small subunit ribosomal RNA", at positions 509 to 807 of the family's 1533-position model. The record is from RNAcentral.
CAGUAGCCACGGUAAUACGAAGGGGGCUAGCGUUGUUCGGAUUUACUGGGCGUAAAGGGUGCGUAGGCGGAUUGUUAAGUCAGGGGUGAAAUCCCGAGGCUCAACCUCGGAACUGCCUUUGAUACUGGCGAUCUUGAGUCCGGGAGAGGUGAGUGGAACUGCGAGUGUAGAGGUGAAAUUCGUAGAUAUUCGCAAGAACACCGGUGGCGAAGGCGGCUCACUGGCCCGGUACUGACGCUGAGGCACGAAAGCGUGGGGAGCAAACAGGAUUAGAUACCCCUGUAGUCCCUGUCUCUUAUAC